ACUAUCAUUAACUGAAUCCAUAGGUUAAUGAGGCGAACCGGGGGAACUGAAACAUCUAAGUACCCCGAGGAAAAGAAAUCAACCGAGAUUCCCCCAGUAGCGGCGAGCGAACGGGGAGGAGCCCAGAGCCUGAAUCAGUGUGUGUGUUAGUGGAAGCGUCUGGAAAGGCGUGCGAUACAGGGUGACAGCCCCGUACACAAAAAUGCACAUAUUGUGAGCUCGAUGAGUAGGGCGGGACACGUGGUAUCCUGUCUGAAUAUGGGGGGACCAUCCUCCAAGGCUAAAUACUCCUGACUGACCGAUAGUGAACCAGUACCGUGAGGGAAAGGCGAAAAGAACCCCGGCGAGGGGAGUGAAAAAGAACCUGAAACCGUGUACGUACAAGCAGUGGGAGCCUCUUAAUGGGGUGACUGCGUACCUUUUGUAUAAUGGGUCAGCGACUUAUAUUCUGUAGCAAGGUUAACCGAAUAGGGGAGUCGAAGGGAAACCGAGUCUUAACUGGGCGUUAAGUUGCAGGGUAUAGACCCGAAACCCGGUGAUCUAGCCAUGGGCAGGUUGAAGGUUGGGUAACACUAACUGGAGGACCGAACCGACUAAUGUUGAAAAAUUAGCGGAUGACUUGUGGCUGGGGGUGAAAGGCCAAUCAAACCGGGAGAUAGCUGGUUCUCCCCGAAAGCUAUUUAGGUAGCGCCUCGUGAAUUCAUCUCCGGGGGUAGAGCACUGUUUCGGCAAGGGGGUCAUCCCGACUUACCAACCCGAUGCAAACUGCGAAUACCGGAGAAUGUUAUCACGGGAGACACACGGCGGGUGCUAACGUCCGUCGUGAAGAGGGAAACAACCCAGACCGCCAGCUAAGGUCCCAAAGUCAUGGUUAAGUGGGAAACGAUGUGGGAAGGCCCAGACAGCCAGGAUGUUGGCUUAGAAGCAGCCAUCAUUUAAAGAAAGCGUAAUAGCUCACUGGUCGAGUCGGCCUGCGCGGAAGAUGUAACGGGGCUAAACCAUGCACCGAAGCUGCGGCAGCGACACUAUGUGUUGUUGGGUAGGGGAGCGUUCUGUAAGCCUGUGAAGGUGGCCUGUGAGGGUUGCUGGAGGUAUCAGAAGUGCGAAUGCUGACAUAAGUAACGAUAAAGCGGGUGAAAAGCCCGCUCGCCGGAAGACCAAGGGUUCCUGUCCAACGUUAAUCGGGGCAGGGUGAGUCGACCCCUAAGGCGAGGCCGAAAGGCGUAGUCGAUGGGAAACAGGUUAAUAUUCCUGUACUUGGUGUUACUGCGAAGGGGGGACGGAGAAGGCUAUGUUGGCCGGGCGACGGUUGUCCCGGUUUAAGCGUGUAGGCUGGUUUUCCAGGCAAAUCCGGAAAACCAAGGCUGAGGCGUGAUGACGAGGCACUACGGUGCUGAAGCGACAAAUGCCCUGCUUCCAGGAAAAGCCUCUAAGCAUCAGGUAACAUCAAAUCGUACCCCAAACCGACACAGGUGGUCAGGUAGAGAAUACCAAGGCGCUUGAGAGAACUCGGGUGAAGGAACUAGGCAAAAUGGUGCCGUAACUUCGGGAGAAGGCACGCUGAUAUGUAGGUGAAGCGACUUGCUCGUGGAGCUGAAAUCAGUCGAAGAUACCAGCUGGCUGCAACUGUUUAUUAAAAACACAGCACUGUGCAAACACGAAAGUGGACGUAUACGGUGUGACGCCUGCCCGGUGCCGGAAGGUUAAUUGAUGGGGUUAGCGGCAACGCGAAGCUCUUGAUCGAAGCCCCGGUAAACGGCGGCCGUAACUAUAACGGUCCUAAGGUAGCGAAAUUCCUUGUCGGGUAAGUUCCGACCUGCACGAAUGGCGUAAUGAUGGCCAGGCUGUCUCCACCCGAGACUCAGUGAAAUUGAACUCGCUGUGAAGAUGCAGUGUACCCGCGGCAAGACGGAAAGACCCCGUGAACCUUUACUAUAGCUUGACACUGAACAUUGAGCCUUGAUGUGUAGGAUAGGUGGGAGGCUUUGAAGUGUGGACGCCAGUCUGCAUGGAGCCGACCUUGAAAUACCACCCUUUAAUGUUUGAUGUUCUAACGU
RNAcentral lists this ribosomal RNA (2057 nucleotides) under Escherichia coli J96. RNAcentral's name for it is "bacterial LSU rRNA". It matches the Rfam family "Bacterial large subunit ribosomal RNA", at positions 147 to 2228 of the family's 2925-position model. Lineage: Bacteria; Pseudomonadati; Pseudomonadota; Gammaproteobacteria; Enterobacterales; Enterobacteriaceae. The record is from RNAcentral.